Odocoileus virginianus texanus is the source of this 1492-nucleotide non-coding RNA. NCBI's taxonomy places the organism in Eukaryota, Metazoa, Chordata, Mammalia, Artiodactyla, Cervidae. The record is from RefSeq and is a predicted model, not a curated record.
AUGGCGUCCGGCAGUAACUGGCUGUCUGACGUGAAUGUCGUGCUGGUGAUGGCCUACGGGAGCCUGGUGUUCAUACUGCUAUUUAUUUUUGUGAAGAGGCAAAUCAUGCACUUUGCAAUGAAAUGCCGAAGGGGACCUCAUGUCCCUGUGGGACACAAUGCCCCCAAGGACUUAAAAGAGGAGAUUGAUAUCCGACUGUCCAAGGUUCAGGAUAUCAAGUAUGAACCUCAGCUUCUCGCAGAUGAUGAUGCAAGACUGCUACAGCUGGAAACCCAGGGAAAUCAAAAUUGCUACAACUACCUAUACAGGAUGAAAGCUCUGGAUGCUAUCCGUGCCUCUGAGAUCCCAUUUUAUGCUGAAGGCCAGCAUCCCCAUUCCUUAAUGGGCAAGAAUUUCUGCUCCUACCUGCUAGAUCUUUGAAACACUAGUACUCCUUUCAAGGGUGUAUGCAAGGCCCUCACUGAUACCCUGCUUGAUGGCUAUGAGACAGCCCGCUAUGGGACAGGGGUCUUUGGCCUGAGUACCUGCGCUAUCAGGUGGCCCUGAGUGAGCUGGCCACAGUGGUCAAAGCACGAAGUGGGAGCUCUCGGCAACAGCACCAGUCAGCAGCCAAAGACCUAACCCAGUCUCCUGAAGUCUCCCCAGCAACCAUCCAGGUGACAUAGCUCCCCUCCAGUCAGAAGAGUAAACGUGCCAAGCACUUCCUCAAAUUGAAGAGCUUUAAGGACAACUAUAACACACUGGAGAGUACUGUGAUGGAGCUGAAGGCCUCUCACUGUUGACGGAGCCAGGCAGACUGAAGUGUGCUUGCCGGGUGGCCCUCACUCAGGUCAUCUGGUUCAGCCCAGCUCUGGAUCAGCUGAAGCUCUGGUUGUGUUCAGAGCUCCUAAGAUUUCAUGCCUAGAGGAUCAUUCUCCCACCCUCUCUUAUGGCCAGUUUCAGAACAUCAGUUAAGACUUUAUUUUCCCUCGGUAUGACUUUUCUCUGGAGUUGAAUUAGAUGUUUUCCUCAAUAUUUCUGUCAAAGCUUCCUUAAAAAUCCUCACUCGGUUUUUUGAUCAUGGUUCAUCUGUCCUUUUCCAGACUAUAAAUUUUCCCAAGGGUGACGGGGCUUGGUCUCUUGUCUUCUGUACACAGUUGAAUGGGAGCCAUUUGGUUUGAGACAUCUAAGAGUUGACUGGUGGAAAUGGCAUACAGAAUGGUGGGGAAAUUGGUGGAGGCCAUGAGUGGUACCUAGAACAACUUACCCUGGUGCUCCACUUAAACCAGAAUGUUAAUGGGAACAUUAACAAGUUCUCUAACAUGCAAGAAUCUGCCUUCCACUUUCAUUGUAUACUGUCAUGAAUAAGUUGAAAAAGGAAUGUUUUAACAUCUGAUAUAAUCCCAUCACUCCUUAUUUGUGGGAUCGUGUGAAGGAAUAGACCAAUAUCCUGAUCUGACUUUAUAAACCAUUUAAUGAAUAAUUAAAAAAUAAACCAUAUGAUUCAUUCCUC